RNAcentral lists this ribosomal RNA (482 nucleotides) under uncultured bacterium. Its description in RNAcentral is "partial 16S ribosomal RNA". It matches the Rfam family "Bacterial small subunit ribosomal RNA", at positions 35 to 507 of the family's 1533-position model. The record is from RNAcentral.
GGGGGGGGGGGGGGGGGGGGGGGAGGGGGGGGGGGGGGGGGGGGGGGGGCCGGCGGGGGGCGACGGGUGGCGGACGGGGGAGGAGGACAGCGGGGCGUGGCCGAUCGUGGGGGAGCACGGGGCGCAAGGGGUGCUGAUACCGCAUACGAUCUACGGAUGAAAGCAGGGGACCGCAAGGGCUUGCGCGGCCGGGGCGGCCGCUGGCAGAUUAGGUAGUUGGUGGGAUAAAAGCUUACCAAGCCGACGAUCUGUAGCUGGUCUGAGAGGAUGAUCAGCCACACUGGGACUGAGACACGGCCCAGACUCCUACGGGAGGCAGCAGUGGGGAAUUUUGGACAAUGGGCGCAAGCCUGAUCCAGCCAUGCCGCGUGCAGGAUGAAGGCCUUCGGGUUGUAAACUGCUUUUGUACGGAACGAAAAGCCUUCUUUUAAUACAGGAGGGUCAUGACGGUACCGUAAGAAUAAGCACCGGCUAACUACGUG